This is a non-coding RNA of Ictidomys tridecemlineatus (thirteen-lined ground squirrel), 1657 nucleotides long. Lineage: Eukaryota; Metazoa; Chordata; Mammalia; Rodentia; Sciuridae. The record is from RefSeq and is a predicted model, not a curated record.
CCUACAAUAAAGGGCUCCCACUCCUGCUGUAUGAAUCUACACAAGUUGUUCGUCACAGCCCCCCCUUAUUUUGCUGCAGCUGGACUGCAGCACCGCUCCUCUGCUUAACAACAACAAAAAAUGUCGCUUUAAGCAACUAGUUUCAAGCAGCCCAUACCUCUAGUCCCAGUCACUCAGGAGACUAAGGCAGGAGGACCCCUUGAGCCCAGGAGUUGGAGGCCAGCGUGGGCAACAUAGUGAGACAAAAGAAGAAAGGAGAGGAAAGGAAGACAAAACUGGAAUCCUGUUCUCCAGCACCUGGGAAGUCAGCACCCUUGGCUCUGGGCUGGGGCUCACACACCGUGGUGUUUUCCAGACUCCCUGCAGUGAGAAACUGUGGCUUCUAACUUGGUUACUGCUGCAGCCCUAGUGGCCACACCCAGCAUUCUUGAAGGGAAAGGCCAAGGUACAGUCUUUGGGCUAGUGAUUGACACUUGGGGCAGGGGCCCUAGACAUACCUGCCUGAGCAGGUCAGUCAGCCACAACCCGGGUCCUACGGGACAGUCACGGAGACUAAAGUACAAUCUGUAAUGAUCUGAGCAUAGAACCUGCUUUUUGCAAAUAAGCGCAAUGAAUUUGUGCACAGUUUUAACACUAAAAUUUCUAAAUUUUUUUUUUCCUUAGGGAUCAUUUUCAAGGUGCUUCUAUGCACAGGUUCAUCUGUGACCUCUGUAUUGUUGCGGCGCAAGCAUUCAGGUUGGUUCACUGUUUUCCCUGCGUUUCUCCUUUACUUUAGAGUUCGGGCAUUUCCAAAUUCACCAUGUAGACAUGUUAUGUGAGCUUACAAUUUCCCUCAGAUAGUAGACAGGAUACUAAAUGUGACCUGUUUGAGGACACUUUGUGUCUGAAGGGGCUGAGACCUCUGGCACUGAGACCUUAAGGCACAUAAAGCAGGGGCCACCUCUGCAGUCCCUGCACCUGAAAUAGUGGAAGGUACCCAAAUAUUUGUUGACUGAAUGACUUCACUAGGACAAUCUUUUGAAGAAGUUAAUACCAGCACUUUGCUGGUAUUAAUAUGUCCUUUGCAUAUAGUAAGUGACCAAUAUAAGUGACCAAGAAAUAAUAUAUAUAUUUCUUGAAUGAAUGCAUGAAAAUGGUUGAGCUUUUAGCAGGAGAGGAAGGCUGUAGGAAUUAUGUUUAAGAUGAUUUUGUCACUUACCCAGCCCUUUGGGAAUUGGGGGAACAUUUUGAGGGGCCCAUGCAGUGAAUUUAAUUCAAGAAAUAGUCUUUGAAGGGAAAUAAAGGUAAGAAAGAAAGGCUUCCGUACUUUCAUUUUGUUUGUUCAUUGAACCAAUGUCUAUCUAUUACCCGCUGUGUGUCAGGUCCUAGGAGGCGAACUAUUCAUGGUAGCAAUAGGCUUUGGGAAAGAGAUGAUUAAAAAAAUACAGCAAUGUACAAAAUAGAAAUGUUUUUAAAAUUAGCUUUAAUCUUCCUUCCCAGAUGAUCUCAGUGACAUUUAAAAAAAUAAUGUAUGUAUAGUCAUUUCCCCUUACACUUGGGGGACACAUUCCAAGACCCCCAUUGGAUAUCUGAAAACUUAGAUGAUACUGAACUAUAAAUACUCUUUUGCCUCAUAUCCGUGAUGAUGUUUAAUUUAUAAAUUAGAAAGUACAAACAA